CCGGCCCUCGCCCGGGAGUGCGUGUGUGCGCGCGUGUGUGCGCGAGUGAGUGUGUGCGCGGGGUGCGCGCGCGGGCGGGAGUGGGCGCGCGCGGGGAAAGGCCCGAAAACACCUUAGUUUGCACCGAGAGACCAUUUGCAGCGGAACCCGAAAGUUUGCAAGAGGAAGAGAGCGCGCGGCGAGCGAGCGAGCGGGCCGGGGGCAGCGGCAGCGGCGCCGGGGACCAUGGUGCUGCCGGCGCCUCCUCCGCGGGCGUGAAGGCGGCGCUCCUACUCCCUCCCCGGACUCCGCGGUGUCCCAGAAGCUUUUGUUGACAAUUCCAGUUUCCGAACAAAACAUCUCGGCAAUGGUGAGGGCUUCGAUCCCUUCUCUGAUUUGCUGUCAGCCAUGAACGGAUGGAUGUGAUGCCUGCUAGCCAAAAGGCUUCCCUCUGUGUAUUGCAGUCCUGUGGCAUUAUGCAUGCCCCCUCCCAGUGACCCCAGGCUUUUUAUGGCUGUGAGACACGUUAAAUUUUCAGGGUAAGUGACAGACACCACUGAUGCUGUAUACCACCUAAAAAUUGCCAU
This 566-nucleotide long non-coding RNA is filed under the name Theropithecus gelada (gelada). RNAcentral describes it as "lncRNA (ENSTGEG00000024738.1)". Lineage: Eukaryota; Metazoa; Chordata; Mammalia; Primates; Cercopithecidae. The record is from RNAcentral.